This is a long non-coding RNA of Monopterus albus (swamp eel), 1527 nucleotides long. RefSeq lists it as uncharacterized. Lineage: Eukaryota; Metazoa; Chordata; Actinopteri; Synbranchiformes; Synbranchidae. The transcript has 4 exons. The record is from RefSeq and is a predicted model, not a curated record.
CACUUGUGAUCGUAUGUGCACAGCUGCAUGUACGUUUCGUCCCACAUGGCCAGGACUUGUGACUGUAACUAUGACAUAUGCAAGGCAGCCCCGUCCUGAUCACUACAGCAGAGCCAUAUGAAACGUCUAUACGGACCACACAGGACUCCAGGUCCUGCUGCUAGAGAGCUCUGUUCUCUGGUCACAUAGGAACUUAUCUCCAACAGGCUGCCUGGAAAUUAAAACCCAGCUCUAAGUCUAGUUUAGUUCAAAGAAAGGGUUCACAGUCUGUGUUGGUGAAUCUGGAGCCGGGUGUUAAAAUCCCUCAGGGCCGUAUCUGCGUUGUGUGUCUCUUGAUAACAGAAAUAUUCUGUCAGGAUGAAGGAGUCACUGAUGUUUCCGGAGGAAGCGCUUUCACGUAGAAGCAGCUCAGGACUAAACCAGCCAGGAAGUCAGGACGCAGCGUGUUCGUCAUACAGAUAAGCCGUGAAUUUAGAGCAAUAGUGGAGCUGAUCGGAGGGCAAAGCGGGGAUAAACCGUAUUUUUGGAAAUGAAGUGGAGCUCUGUUCAGUCCGACAUCGGUGCUGCCUGUUGGUUUUACCUCACGAAGCUGAAGACAGCUCGUAGGAACCACCGUUUUGACUUGACUGGGGGUGCUGUAACUUUAAGCUAACAUGCUGUAGCUCGCCCCAGGACUAGCCGGUAUGUCUCCGGGCUGAUCCGGCACAGAGCAGCCGGUUCUUAUCGAUCUGAUAAAGAAAGACCUCAGCAACCUGGUGAAGAUGGAGCUGUGACAUCAUCUGGUCAGACCACCAGCAUAGCGGUGUGUGUUCGUGAUGCUGGAAGACUACUUGUCUGCAGAAUUUGGAAAGGACCAACACGUGUGACAUCUAAUCCUCAGCCAUAGUGUUUCCUUUGUUUCAAAGUAAGAUGCGUAAAUGUGAUAUUAAGUCAAAUGUAACUGCAGCCUGUACACACACUGAAUGAAACCAUUUUCCUCAGGCUCUGUACUGUCACUGAAUCAAACUCAAUGUAAUUAAAGGUAGAUUUAAAAAGUAUUAAUUAUGAGUCCUGCCAGCUGGUCAGAAAUGUAACUGAUGUAUUUCUCAGUGUAGUGGUUAUCGCCUGCUGUAAAUAUUUCAUCAUACUGAUUCAAGAUGAACCUGUCCUGCAUUGUUUCAGGUUCCUUUGAAUGUCUUUUAGAAAGAAAAAAAAAUCAGGACGUUGAGAAGUUGGACCCAUUUCGGACGACUGACAAAAUCAACAGCUUCUCUGCUUUGGCUGAACAAAGAUCAGUCACAUCUAGCCUGUCACCUGUUUGAGCUUCUGCCCUCGAGUAGGAGAUUCAGGUCUAUCCGAGGCCAGACAACCAGACUCCCACCCCCAAGCAGUAAUACUGCUGAAUGGACUCGCUCCAGCUAAACUAGUGGUCCCCAUUAGGACAUGAGUGUUGCCCAUGUUGUUGGGGUUGUGUUGAAGGGUCCUCUACCAUACUCACUUGUGCAUGUGUAUAUCCUGUGUGGGUAAAAUAAAAUGACUUUUAUUUGA